UCCGGUUUGGCACCGGCAGUCUCCGAUGAGUCCCCGACAUAACUCGCUGGCAACAUCGGACAGGGGUUGCGCUCGUUGCGCCACUUAAGGCAACACCUCACGGCACGAGCUGACGACAGCCAUGCAGCACCUGUGCGGGCUCCCGAAGGAGGACCGUGUUUCCACGGCUUCACCCCGCAUGUCAAGCCCUGGUAAGGUGGGGAUGACGUCAAGGUACGGAC
This 221-nucleotide unclassified non-coding RNA is filed under the name uncultured Actinomycetes bacterium. Its description in RNAcentral is "uncultured actinobacterium contains 16S-23S intergenic spacer region". Lineage: Bacteria; Bacillati; Actinomycetota; Actinomycetes. The record is from RNAcentral.